This 115-nucleotide ribosomal RNA is filed under the name Ferrimonas sediminicola. Lineage: Bacteria; Pseudomonadati; Pseudomonadota; Gammaproteobacteria; Alteromonadales; Ferrimonadaceae. The record is from RNAcentral.
CUUGGCGGCAAUAGCGUUGUGGUCCCACCUGAUCCCAUGCCGAACUCAGCAGUGAAACACAGUAGCGCCGAUGGUAGUGUGGGAGUUCCCAUGUGAGAGUAGGUCACUGCCAAGC